CAGUCGCCGCGGUAAUACGUAGGGUGCGAGCGUUAAUCGGAAUUACUGGGCGUAAAGCGAGCGCAGACGGUUAUUUAAGCAGGAUGUGAAAUCCCCGGGCUUAACCUGGGAACUGCGUUCUGAACUGGAUAGCUAGAGUGUGUCAGAGGGGGGUAGAAUUCCACGUGUAGCAGUGAAAUGCGUAGAGAUGUGGAGGAGUACCGAUGGCGAAGGCAGCCCCCUGGGAUAACACUGACGUUCAUGCUCGAAAGCGUGGGUAGCAAACAGGAUUAGAUACCCGAGUAGUCCCUGUCUCUUAUAC
This 301-nucleotide ribosomal RNA is filed under the name uncultured bacterium. Its description in RNAcentral is "partial 16S ribosomal RNA". It matches the Rfam family "Bacterial small subunit ribosomal RNA", at positions 509 to 807 of the family's 1533-position model. The record is from RNAcentral.